GACGAACGCUGGCGGCGUGCUUAACACAUGCAAGUCGAACGGAAAGGCCCUGCUUUUGUGGGGUGCUCGAGUGGCGAACGGGUGAGUAACACGUGAGUAACCUGCCCUUGACUUUGGGAUAACUUCAGGAAACUGGGGCUAAUACCGGAUAGGAGCUCCUGCUGCAUGGUGGGGGUUGGAAAGUUUCGGCGGUUGGGGAUGGACUCGCGGCUUAUCAGCUUGUUGGUGGGGUAGUGGCUUACCAAGGCUUUGACGGGUAGCCGGCCUGAGAGGGUGACCGGCCACAUUGGGACUGAGAUACGGCCCAGACUCCUACGGGAGGCAGCAGUGGGGAAUAUUGCACAAUGGGCGGAAGCCUGAUGAAGCAACGCCGGGUGCGGGAUGACGGCCUUCGGGUUGUAAACCGCUUUCGCCUGUGACGAAGCGUGAGUGACGGUAAUGGGUAAAGAAGCACCGGCUAACUACGUG
RNAcentral lists this ribosomal RNA (468 nucleotides) under uncultured bacterium. Its description in RNAcentral is "partial 16S ribosomal RNA". It matches the Rfam family "Bacterial small subunit ribosomal RNA", at positions 28 to 507 of the family's 1533-position model. The record is from RNAcentral.